CUUUGUUUUGUGGUGUGCGUUUGGUGUGAGCUUGGUGUUUUGUCUUGAGGAAACACGGGUCAGACACAAAAUAAGCCUACUCCUCUAGGAACUAUGUUGAAAAAUUUUAAGAAGGGAUUUAAUGGCGACUAUGGGGUUACUAUGACACCAGGGAAACUUAGAACUUUGUGUGAAAUAGAUUGGCCAACAUUAGAAGUGGGUUGGCCAUCAGAAGGAAGCCUGGACAGGUCCCUUGUUUCUAAGGUAUGGCACAAGGUAACUGGUAAGUCAGGACACUCAGACCAGUUUCCAUACAUAGACACUUGGUUACAGCUGGUGCUAGACCCCCCACAGUGGGUAAGAGGGCAGGCAGCAGCCGUGCUAGUAGCAAAGGGACAGAUAGUCAAGGAAGGAUCCCGCUCCACCCACCGAGGGAAAUCAACUCCUGAAGUUCUGUUCAACCCAACAUCAGAAGAUCCAUUGCAGGAGAUGGCAAAAGUCAUCCCAGUGGUGCCCUCCCCUCACCAGGGAGAGAGGCUCCCCACUUUUGAGUCCACAGUGCUUGUGCCUCUGCAAGACAAACAUAUCCCUAGGCCACCCAGAGUAGACAAGAGAGGAGGUGAAGCCUCAGGAGAAACCCCUCCCUUGGCAGCUCGUUUAAGACCCAAAACGGGGAUACAAAUGCCCUUGAGAGAGGAGCGGUAUACUGGAAUAGAUGAGGAUGGGCACAUGGCGGAGAGGCGUGUUUUUGUGUGCCAGCCCUUCACCUCUGCCCACCUUCUCAACUGGAAAAACAAUACCCCGUCCUGUACUGAAAAGCCACAAGCUCUAAUUGAUUUGCUCCAAACUAUUAUCCAGACCCAUAACCCCACUUUGGCUGAUUGCCACCAGUUGCUCAUGUUCCUCUUUAACGCAGAUGAAAGGCAGAGAGUGCUCCAAGCAGCAACUAAGUGGCUAGAGGAACAUGCACUGGCUGAUUACCAAAAUCCCCAAGAGUAUGUAAGGACCCAGUUACCGGGAACCAGCCCCCAGUGGGACCCAAAUGAAAGAGAGGAUAUGCAAAGGCUAAACCGAUACAGGGAAGCUCUCUUAGAAGGAUUAGAGGGGAGCCCAGAAGGCCACAAACGUUAAUAAGGUCUCUGAGGUCAUUCAGGGAAAAGAAGAAAGUCCAGCACAAUUCUACGAGAGACUGUGUGAGGGCUAUCACAUGUAUACUCCCUUUGAUCCCGAUAGCCCUGAAAAUCAACGCAUGAUUAACAUGGCUUUAGUUAGUCAAAGCGCAGAAGACAUUAGAAGAAAACUGCAGAAACAGGCUGGGUUUGCAGGGAUGAACACAUCACAAUUAUUAGAAAUAGCUAACCAGGUGUUUGUAAACAGGGAUGCAGUAAGCCAUAAGGAAAACAGCAGAGAGAAUGAACGUCAGGCCCGGCGAAACACCGAGCUGUUAGCUGCAGCAAUUAGAGGGAUCUCCCACAAAAAGGCAAGGGAAGGGGGGCCCCGGGAAAGAAACUCAGCCUGGCUGUCAGAGCUUGUAGCGUAAUCAGUGUGCUUAUUGUAAAGAAAUAGGACAUUGGAAGAACAAAUGCCCUCAGCUAAAAGGAAAACAAGGUGACUCGGAGCAGGAGGCUCCAGACAAGGAGGAAGGGGCCCUGCUCAACCUGGCAGAAGGGUUAUUGGACUGAGGGGGACCGGGCUCAAGGACCCCCAAAAAGCCUAUGGUCAGGAUGACAGUUGGGGGUAAAGACAUUGAUUUUCUUAUAGAUACCGGUGCUGAACAUUCGGUAGUAACCGCCCCAGUCGCCCCCUUAUCCAAAAAGACUAUUGACAUCAUCGGAGCCAUGGGAGUUUCAGCAAAACAAGCUUUCUGCUUGCCCCGGACUUGUACUAUAGGAAGACAUAAAGUGAUUCAUCAGUUUUUGUACAUGCCUGAUUGUCCCUUGCCCUUGUUGGGAAGGGACUUGCUUAGCAAACUGAGAGCCACUAUCUCUUUUACAGAGCACGGCUCUUUGCUGCUAAAGUUACCCGGAACGGGAGUCAUUAUGACCCUUACGGUCCCCCGAGAGGAGGAAUGGAGACUUUUCUUAACUGAGCCGGGCCAAGAGAUAAGACCAGCUCUGGCUAAGCGGUAGCCAAGAGUGUGGGCGGAAGACAACCCUCCAGGGUUGGCAGUCAACCAAGCCCCCGUACUUAUAGAAGUUAAGCCUGGGGCCCAGCCGGUUAGGCAAAAACAGUACCUGGUCCCCAGAGAAGCUCUUGAAGGUAUCCAGGUCCAUCUCAAGCGCCUAAGAACCUUUGGAAUUAUAGUUCCUUGUCAGUCUCCAUGGAACACUCCCCUCCUGCCUGUUCCCAAGCCUGGGACCAAGGACUACAGGCUGGUACAGGAUUUGCGCUUGGUUAAUCAGGCUACAGUGACUUUACAUCCAACAGUACCUAACCCGUACAUAUUGCUGGGGUUGCUGCCAGCUGAGGACAGCUGGUUCACCUGCUUGUACCUGAAAGAUGCUCUCUUUAGCAUCAGAUUAGCCCCUGAGAGGCAGAUGCUGUUUGCCUUUCAGUGGGAAGAUCCGGAGUCAGGUGUCACUAUUCAGUACACUUGGACCUGGCUUCCCCAAGGGUUCAAGAACUCCCCCACCAUCUUCAGGGAGGCAUUGGCUUGAGACCUCCAGAAGUUUCCCACCAGAUACCUAGGCUGCGUGUUGCUCCAGUACGUUGAUGACCUUUUGCUGGGACACCCCACGGCAGUCGGGUGUGCCAAGAGAACAGAUGCUCUACUCCGGCACCUGGAGGACUGUGGUAUAAGGUGUCCAAGAAAAAAGCUCAGAUCUGCCAACAGCAGUAUCAGAGAGCCCUGUCGAGCAUGACUGUGUAGAAGUGUUGGACUCAGUUUACUCUAGCAGACCUGACCUCCGGGAUCAGCCUUGGGCAUCAGUAGACUGGGAACUAUACGUGGAUGGGAGCAGCUUUAUCAACCCACAAGGAGAGAGAUGUGCAGGGUAUGCGGUGGUAACUCUGGACACUGUUGUUGAAGCCGGAUCGUUGCCCCAGGGCACUUCAGCUCAGAAAGCUGAACUCAUUGCUUUAAUUCGGGCCUUAGAACUCAGUGAAGGUAAGACUGUAAACAUUUA
Molecule: RNA transcript, 3104 nt
Organism: Pan troglodytes (chimpanzee)
Lineage: Eukaryota; Metazoa; Chordata; Mammalia; Primates; Hominidae
Gene: UBXN8
Gene name: UBX domain protein 8
Exons: 2
Source: RefSeq, a predicted model, not a curated record